This 510-nucleotide ribosomal RNA is filed under the name Porphyra sp. BPL1406. Its description in RNAcentral is "SSU rRNA". It matches the Rfam family "Eukaryotic small subunit ribosomal RNA", at positions 56 to 565 of the family's 1831-position model. The record is from RNAcentral. Lineage: Eukaryota; Rhodophyta; Bangiophyceae; Bangiales; Bangiaceae.
UGUCUAAGUAUAAACACCUUUAUACACGUGAAACUGCGAAUGGCUCAUUACAACAGUUAUAGUUUCUUUGAACGUCCUUUACUACUUGGAUAACCGUAGUAAUUCUAGAGCUAAUACAUGCCUACNCGCCCGACUUCGGAAGGGUGGUAUUUAUUAGAUAAAAAACCAUCGCACCUUCCAGUGCUUUGAGAUGAUUCAUAAUAACUCUUCGGAUCGCAUGGCCUUGCGCCGGCGACGGUUCAUUCAAAUUUCUGCCCUAUCAACUUUCGAUGGUAGAGUCGUGGUCUACCAUGGUGUCGACGGGUAACGGGGGAUUAGGGUUCGAUUCCGGAGAGGGAGCCUGAGAAACGGCUACCACAUCCAAGGAAGGCAGCAGGCGCGCAAAUUACCCAAUCCCAAACCGGGGAGGUAGUGACAAGAAAUAGCAAUAGGAGGCCCUUACCGGUCUUCUAAUUGGAAUGAGAAGAAUUUAAAUCCCUUGUCNAUGAUCCAUUGGAGGGCAAGUCUGGU